This 467-nucleotide ribosomal RNA is filed under the name uncultured bacterium. RNAcentral describes it as "partial 16S ribosomal RNA". It matches the Rfam family "Bacterial small subunit ribosomal RNA", at positions 28 to 507 of the family's 1533-position model. The record is from RNAcentral.
GAUGAACGCUGGCGGCGUGCUUAACACAUGCAAGUCGAACGGAAAGGCCCAAGCUUGCUUGGGUACUCGAGUGGCGAACGGGUGAGUAACACGUGGGUGAUCUGCCCUGCACUUCGGGAUAAGCCCGGGAAACUGGGGCUAAUACUGGAUAGGACCACCUCUUGGAUGUUGUGGUGGAAAGAUUUUUCGGGGUGGGGUGAGCUCGCGGCCUAUCAGCUUGUUGGUGGGGUGAUGGGCUACCAAGGCGUCGACGGGUAGCCGGGCUGAGAGGGUGUACGGCCACAUUGGGACUGAGGUACGGCCCAGACUCCUACGGGAGGCAGCAGGGGGGAAUAUUGCACCAUGGGCGCAAGGCUGAUGCAGCGACGCCGCGUGGGGGAUGGCGGCCUUCGGGUUGGAAACUCGUUUCGCUAGGGACGAAGCGUUUUGUGACGGUACCUGGAGAAGAAGCACCGGCUAACUACGUG